Mycena haematopus is the source of this 93-nucleotide non-coding RNA. The record is from the annotation of a GenBank genome assembly. Lineage: Eukaryota; Fungi; Basidiomycota; Agaricomycetes; Agaricales; Mycenaceae.
GCUACUUUGGUAUAAUGGUUAUAAUGCUGUUAUUAUAAAUCAGAUUUGUCAGCUGUUAUCUAGAGGUCUCUGGUUCAAUCCCUGCUAGUGACA